GAUGAAGAACGUAGUAAAAUGCGAUAAGUAAUGCGAAUUGCAGAAUUUCCGUGAGUCAUCGAAUCUUUGAACGCACAUUGCGCCCAUUGGUAUUCCGAUGGGCAUGCCUGUUCGAGCGUCAUUUCAACCAUCAAGCCCCCAGGGGCUUGUGCUGGGGCCCUGCGGCUGCCCGCAGGCCCUGAAAACCAGUGGCGGGCUCGCUAGUCACACCGAGCGCAGUAGCACAUCUCGCUCAGGGCGUGCGGCGGGCUCCUGCCGUGAAACCCCCCACUGUAACCCCAAAGGUUGACCUCGGAUCAGGUAGGAAUACCCGCUGAACUUAAGCAUAUCAAUAAGCGGAGGA
This 343-nucleotide unclassified non-coding RNA is filed under the name soil metagenome. RNAcentral's name for it is "partial contains 5.8S ribosomal RNA, internal transcribed spacer 2, and large subunit ribosomal RNA". The stretch from base 1 to 121 matches the Rfam family "5.8S ribosomal RNA", at positions 35 to 154 of the family's 154-position model. The record is from RNAcentral.